This is a non-coding RNA of Myotis brandtii (Brandt's bat), 75 nucleotides long. The record is from Rfam. NCBI's taxonomy places the organism in Eukaryota, Metazoa, Chordata, Mammalia, Chiroptera, Vespertilionidae.
GGCGGUUCUCAGGUGACACACCCCAGAAAUGGGCUCUCUCCUCUCUGGUUCUGGGUGUAUCACCCAGGAACCACA